UCUGGUUGAUCCUGCCGGAGGCUACCGCUAUUGGAGUUCGAUUAAGCCAUGCGAGUCGCGAGAAAUUAGAUUCUCGGCGUACCGCUCAGUAACACGUGGGUAACCUGCCCUAUGCUGGAUAAUAACCUCGGGAAACUGAGAAUAAUGAUCCAUAGUUCACUACGCCUGGAACGGUGAGUGGAUGAAAGCUCCGGCGGCAUAGGAUGGGCCUGCGGCGUAUCAGGUUGUAGGGGGUGUAACGUACCCUCUAGCCCUCUACGCGUACGGGUGUUGGGAGACAUAGCCCGGAGAUGGAUUCUGAGACACGAAUCCAGACCCUACGGGGUGCAGCAGGCGCGAAAACUUGGCAAUGCGAGAAAUCGUGACCAGGGAACUCCAAGUGCAUCGGGUAAGACCGGUGCUUUUCUUGACUCUAAAUAGGUCUUGGAAUAAGGGGUGGGUAAGGACGGUGCCAGCCGCCGCGGUAAUACCGGCGCCUCAAGUGGUAGUCGCUUUUAUUGGGCCUAAAACGUCCGUAGCCGGUCUGAUACAUUCGUGGGUAAAUCAACCAGCUCAACUGGUUGAAUUCUGCGAGGACGGUCAGACUUGGGACCGGGAGAGGUGUGGGGUACGCUCAGGGUAGGGGUAAAAUCCUGUCAUCCUGAGCGGACCACCUGUUGCGAAGGCGCCACACUAGAACGGAUCCGACGGUCAGGGACGAAGCCUAGGGGCACGAACCGGAUUAGAUACCCGGGUAGUCCUAGGUGUAAACGCUGUGGACUUGAU
RNAcentral lists this ribosomal RNA (765 nucleotides) under uncultured Candidatus Poseidoniales archaeon. RNAcentral's name for it is "bacterial SSU rRNA". It matches the Rfam family "Archaeal small subunit ribosomal RNA", at positions 1 to 772 of the family's 1478-position model. Lineage: Archaea; Methanobacteriati; Thermoplasmatota; Candidatus Poseidoniia; Candidatus Poseidoniales. The record is from RNAcentral.